UAAACUGAAGAGUUUGAUCAUGGCUCAGAUUGAACGCUGGCGGCAGGCUUAACACAUGCAAGUCGAGCGGAUGAAAGUAGCUUGCUACUGGAUUCAGCGGCGGACGGGUGAGUAAUGCUUAGGAAUCUGCCUAUUAGUGGGGGACAACAUCUCGAAAGGGAUGCUAAUACCGCAUACGUCCUACGGGAGAAAGCAGGGGAUCUUCGGACCUUGCGCUAAUAGAUGAGCCUAAGUCGGAUUAGCUAGUUGGUGGGGUAAAGGCCUACCAAGGCGACGAUCUGUAGCGG
Molecule: ribosomal RNA, 287 nt
Filed under: Acinetobacter pseudolwoffii
Lineage: Bacteria; Pseudomonadati; Pseudomonadota; Gammaproteobacteria; Moraxellales; Moraxellaceae
Description: partial 16S ribosomal RNA
Rfam family: Bacterial small subunit ribosomal RNA
Source: RNAcentral